Unclassified non-coding RNA from Callithrix jacchus (white-tufted-ear marmoset), 304 nucleotides. It matches the Rfam family "Metazoan signal recognition particle RNA". From Rfam's summary of the family: The signal recognition particle (SRP) is a universally conserved ribonucleoprotein. It is involved in the co-translational targeting of proteins to membranes. The eukaryotic SRP consists of a 300-nucleotide 7S RNA and six proteins: SRPs 72, 68, 54, 19, 14, and 9. The record is from Ensembl. Lineage: Eukaryota; Metazoa; Chordata; Mammalia; Primates; Cebidae.
GCCCGGUGCGGUGGCGUGUGUCUGUAGUCUCAGCUACUCAGGAGGCUGAGAUGGGAAGAUCGCUUGAGCCCAGGAGUUCUGGGCUGUAGUGCACUAUGCCAAUCGGGUGUCUGCACUAAGUUCGGCAUCAAUAUGGUGACCUCCUGAGAGCAGAGGACCACAGGUUGCCUAAGGAGGGGUGCACCAGUCCAGGUCAGAAACGGAGCAGGUCAAAACCCCUGUGCUGAUCAGUGGUGGGAUCAUAUGUUGCCUGUGAAUAGCCACUGCACUCCUGCCUGGGCAACAUAGCAAGACCCUGUCUCUU